RNAcentral lists this long non-coding RNA (682 nucleotides) under Vombatus ursinus (common wombat). RNAcentral describes it as "lncRNA (ENSVURG00010023582.1)". The record is from RNAcentral. Lineage: Eukaryota; Metazoa; Chordata; Mammalia; Diprotodontia; Vombatidae.
GCGGCGGUGCAGGCUGCCAGAGAGAGCGCUGGACCACGGUGGCAGCGACCGAGGGUCUCUUGGCUACCUGUGCAGGGUUCUGGGGUACUCAAAGCCGCUGGAUCCCUUCGUGUUAGCCUGUUUAUCCCAGGGGAUCCCAGGGAGUUGGGUCUCUCCCAAGCCAAGCUUCUACUCCAGAGAAGCUGCCUCAGAGCCUGGUCAUGGCUAUGCUCCUGACCCCACAGGAACCAGUCAGUCUUCUGAGAGUGAAGGUGGAAGAAGGUAUUCCUGGGCAUCCAGAAUUCUUCCUGGGAGGAAACAGAUCUGACCCUGGGCCCUCUGGGCAGUGUUUCAGAGCAGGACUCCGAGAUGCAUGUGAAAGAGCAGAGGCACCUAUAUCUGCAGUACCUGUGAGGAUGGGCAUCUGGGCGAAGGCCGCACAGCGUCCAGACCACAAUUUUCCUUUCCAGGGCUCUGCUCUUCAUUGGGAGGGAAUCCCAGAAGAAGAAGAAGAAAGGCCUCUGACAGCUGGAUCCCAGAGGAACAGAGCCCCGUACCGGGUGGACGUGCUCAAGAACGGGAUCCGGUCUGGGCUGUACCUGAAGAACUGUGUCCUGUUCGGCAUGUUCUCGUGUCCACUGCCUCGCUCUCGGCUCCCUGAGGUUUGUGUGAGGCAGAGUGAGGGUUUGGUGUCAAUGAUGGC